UACGAAGGGGGCUAGCGUUGUUCGGAAUUACUGGGCGUAAAGCGCGCGCAGGCGGCUAUCCAAGUCAGUGGUGAAAGCCCGGAGCUCAACUCCGGAACUGCCAUUGAAACUGUUUAGCUGGAGUAUGAGAGAGGUGAGUGGAAUUCCCAGUGUAGAGGUGAAAUUCGUAGAUAUCGGGAGGAACACCAGUGGCGAAGGCGGCGACCUGGGCCAAUAUUGACGCUGAGGUGCGAAAGCGUGGGGAGCAAACAGG
This 253-nucleotide ribosomal RNA is filed under the name uncultured bacterium. Its description in RNAcentral is "partial 16S ribosomal RNA". It matches the Rfam family "Bacterial small subunit ribosomal RNA", at positions 524 to 776 of the family's 1533-position model. The record is from RNAcentral.